GUCUCAGGCCGUAUCAAUCUGAAGGCGCCCGAUCUCGUCUGAUCUCGGAAGCUAAGCAAGGUCGGGCCUGGUUAGGAUCUUGGAUGGGAGACCACCUGGGAAUCCCGGGUGCUCGAGGCU
This is a ribosomal RNA of Bison bison bison, 120 nucleotides long. NCBI's taxonomy places the organism in Eukaryota, Metazoa, Chordata, Mammalia, Artiodactyla, Bovidae. The record is from Ensembl.